AUGACCAAUGCUCCUAACGGGGGUGACUUUCCCAUAGACCAACCUCCCGUUGGCGGACUACCAGACCUCCAGCAGGAAAUGGCGCACGCCGCCCAUCCCGAAGACAUAAUUGCGGAGUUGACUUCCAAGGUUGAAAGAAUAUUUCACGAAGUAGGCACUCCUCUUCCUUUAGAGGAAGGUGAAUCUGCGCGAUCGUUCACUGAAAAUCAUGUAUUGUGGAAUAGUGAGGGAGGAGAUACUCUUCAACAAAUCUUCUCCGAUUAUACGGAAGCCGGGGACGCAAGCGAAUUCGUCGCAAUAGCCACCAAUCUGGCGAAGCGGUUUCGCCGCGCCGAGCUCGGUGAACCGGAUUCUCCCGACCCUGAUGCGCCUUUGGAAGAGCAGGAGGCUCAUUCCACGGGAUCCCCUGAAAGCACAAAAGCAAAUGAUGGGGCGAACGAGGCAGGCCCGUCUUCUUCGCGGAAGCGUAAAAGGUGGGAUGAUGAUUCGGGGUCUGAAGAUGAUGAUUCGGGGGGCCCCGGCGAAUCUCCAGAUCCAGUGGAAAUCGUUUACGAAGGGGAUGCACAAGGGUACAACUGGGAGGGGAAUUAG
RNAcentral lists this ribosomal RNA (591 nucleotides) under Triticum aestivum (bread wheat). RNAcentral's name for it is "partial small subunit ribosomal RNA". Lineage: Eukaryota; Viridiplantae; Streptophyta; Magnoliopsida; Poales; Poaceae. The record is from RNAcentral.